UGAUGAUGAUGAUGAUGAUGAUGAUGAUUAUGAUGAUGAUGAUGAUGAUGAUGAUGAUGAUGAUUAUGAUGAUGAUGAUGAUCAUCAUUUUCUGCU
This 96-nucleotide microRNA precursor is filed under the name Marmota monax (woodchuck). Lineage: Eukaryota; Metazoa; Chordata; Mammalia; Rodentia; Sciuridae. The record is from RNAcentral.